UAUUGUGUUCUUUGUUAUCCAAUUUAGUUUACUGUUAUGUUUAGAAAAAUUCUAUGUUGAGAAGAUGAUUUACCACGAGGAUGCUAUUACUUAACUUUUAAUGAGGCUUUGUUUUUUACAAAAGCCAUUACUUACCUUCAGAUGAGGCUUUGUUCAUUCUUUUAUUUCCCCAUGUUAAUCUAAUUUGCACAUCACUAAACAAUAUGAUACCUAUUGUUUUUUAUUGUUACUGGUUUCUUCUUAUUUUUUGUCCAAUUACCUAUAGAAACGACAUCGAAAGGAACUUCAAGCUGAACAAGCGAAAGCAUCUGUACAAAGACUGUCUAAAAUCUUCUAGAAAAACCUAAACCCUAUCAGGAAUGGAGACGCUCUCGGCGAAGCAGGAGGGCACGGUGGACGUGAAGCUGAAGCCGACUUCUAACCAAUCCAACUCGUAGGCGGGCGGGGAGCGGAUGUGCCAACUAGAAGAGUGGUCUCUCUCGGCGCUUGUUUGACAAACGUGUGUUAUUAACCGUUGUAUACAAUGUUAUUAAUUAAUGUCCUUUAUUCCCU
Zea mays is the source of this 552-nucleotide long non-coding RNA. RefSeq lists it as uncharacterized. The record is from RefSeq and is a predicted model, not a curated record. The transcript has 2 exons. Lineage: Eukaryota; Viridiplantae; Streptophyta; Magnoliopsida; Poales; Poaceae.